AGUUCUAAUUCAUGCAUUGCCUGCUGAAAAGCCAUUAUGCUCAGCGUAGGUGGCGUAAAACGGAAUUGACCGUUAGCUUCCAAUCCCGCCCAUUGUUGAUAUAGAUCCAAACUUAAACUUCGUGCCUGCCCUUUUGCUUUUUCCAAUUCUGUUCUUUUACAUAUUGCAAACGCAAAUCCCGGCACGCCCUCUAUGCAUUUAUUUGAAGAGGAAAUCAGGAAAUCUAUUUUCAGUUUCUUAAUAUCCAUAUCUACCCCACCGAAACUGCUCAUCGCAUCAACAAUAAAAGUUGCAGAAUGUUUCUUGCAUACCGCAGCUAUCUCUUCAA
RNAcentral lists this unclassified non-coding RNA (328 nucleotides) under uncultured bacterium. Its description in RNAcentral is "contains 16S-23S intergenic spacer region". The record is from RNAcentral.